This 378-nucleotide RNase P RNA is filed under the name Pedobacter chinensis. Its description in RNAcentral is "Pedobacter sp. JDX94 RNase P RNA component class A". It matches the Rfam family "Bacterial RNase P class A". From Rfam's summary of the family: Ribonuclease P (RNase P) is a ubiquitous endoribonuclease, found in archaea, bacteria and eukarya as well as chloroplasts and mitochondria. Its best characterised activity is the generation of mature 5'-ends of tRNAs by cleaving the 5'-leader elements of precursor-tRNAs. Cellular RNase Ps are ribonucleoproteins. The record is from RNAcentral. Lineage: Bacteria; Pseudomonadati; Bacteroidota; Sphingobacteriia; Sphingobacteriales; Sphingobacteriaceae.
AAUGCAGGUUGUUCUAUCGCUGUCCCGAUUUAUCGGGAGAGAGGAAAGUCCGGGCAACGCAGGGCAUCUCGCUUUCUAACAGAAAGGGAUUCAGGAUUGAAAACCUGAAUUACGGAUCAGUGCAACAGAAAAUAUACCGCUUCGAUUUAUCGGAGUAAGGGUGAAAACGUGCGGUAAGAGCGCACGACAAUAUCAGGCGACUGCUAUUGAUUGUAAACCCCGGGAGUUGAAAGACCAAAUAGGCUAACGUAUGUAGGGCUGCCCGUCCGAUGUUAGUGGGUAGGUCGUUAGAGGUAAACGGCAACGUUUAUCCUGGAUAAAUGAUAGAAAUUCUGAAUAAUCAGGAAACAGAACCCGGCUUACAGACCUGCAUUUUUU